UUCCUCUUCAUAAUCAUCAUCG
RNAcentral lists this microRNA (22 nucleotides) under Heliconius melpomene (postman butterfly). RNAcentral's name for it is "Hme-Novel-4_3p (mature (co-guide))". Lineage: Eukaryota; Metazoa; Arthropoda; Insecta; Lepidoptera; Nymphalidae. The record is from RNAcentral.